This 2704-nucleotide ribosomal RNA is filed under the name Kokia drynarioides. Its description in RNAcentral is "bacterial LSU rRNA". The stretch from base 1080 to 2523 matches the Rfam family "Bacterial large subunit ribosomal RNA". Lineage: Eukaryota; Viridiplantae; Streptophyta; Magnoliopsida; Malvales; Malvaceae. The record is from RNAcentral.
AUUGAGCAUGCACAUUUCAAUUAUGUGUCUACUAGCCAUCGUCUGGUCAGGAUCGCUCAACUAAUCCUAGUGUAUUCCAAUCAUGUAUGAACGAAAUACAAACUUGAUAUUAAUUGAAAACAUGAUUGAUUGAUGCACAAAUAUCAUAAGCAUGAAUCAAAUGAAUAUUAUUUAGUCAAAGCAAUUGUCCUAGCUUAAGUAAAAUUAAGCUAGCAUUGUUGUAAUCAAGAACAAAGAACACAUAACAAACAUUAUAAAAUCAAAUUAAAGAAAAGAAAGAAUAAACUCUAUUAGAAUGGUUGUCACCCAAAACUCUGAUAGAAGAAGACUCCUUUGUUCCUUUGCUUUUCUCCUUUGUUGAUGGCUCUUCGAGAUGGUCGACCAUGGGCUCUUUAAGAGGCUUAAUUAGCUAAAAUCUCUAUGAAGAGAGGAUGCUAGGCGUGGGAAUGGGAAAAUGAGAGAAAAGAUGAGAGAGUUGAGAGAAUGAGAGAUGAUCAAUGAUUGAUGAGCAAAAGGAUGAGGGAGAAUUGAAAUGGUGAGAAAUGACUCUUAUUUAUAGGUGAAGGAUGAGAGCGCAUUUACUAAAAAUAGGGAAUUGAAUAGGGAAUUGAAUCCCAAAAUUCUCUCAAGUGCAUGACUAGUCACACUUCAUGGAGUUUGAAUGGCUUUGUUGCUUCAUUUUGAAGCAUUCCACAUGCCACAUCAACUAGGGAUUAAGACUUGGUCAACAACAAAUCUCUUGACCAAAUUUUGAUUUCUCCUAUAGUGCAAGGACUUCUUGAAAUUAAACCAAAAAUAGUUUAUUGGGUAGCCAUGGUGUUGCCAAAAUUGGGCUAAAAUCUUCUUGGAUUGGACGGUUUUUAUGAUCCAUCAAAAUUAACAGACUUGUCUAAAACAAUUUAUUUAAUAAUGGGUCAAAGUAAUUAAAUUAACCCAAUUAUUUAACAAUUUAAUAAACCCAAUUUAUUAAUGAAAUAAUUCAUAUUAAAUUUUUAUAUAUAAUUUUAUGUUUUAAUAUUUAAUUAAUUUAUGCAUAACCCACUUUAUACAUUAAAAAUACAUUAUAUUAAAAUAAUAUAAGUCAUUUUGCGCAUAAAAACUAUAUAAUAAAGCAUAAAAUCACAUUUUAAUAAUUUCCAUGUUCUAAAUUAAUAUUUUCACAUAUUUCAUUAAUUUAUUAAACAUUUACUUGGGUUUAACAUUAUUUUAAGUAAAAAGCUAAUAAAUUAUAAGAAAAAAACCUAUAUACUUUUGAGUUUAUAUUAGGACCUAAGAUCAGGCCGAAAGGCGUAGUCAAUGGACAAUAAGUGAAUAUUCUUGUUCAACCCCUUGUUGGUCCCGAGGUACAGAGGAGGCUAGGUUACACGAAUGAUGGUUAUCGAUUCAAGGAUGCAAGGUGCCCCAGCAUUUUCAGGGUAAGAAGGGGUGCAAAAAUGCCCCGAGCCAAUGUUCGAGUACCAAGCGCACUAUACUCCCAAGAAAAGCUUGAACGACCUUCAACAAAAGGGCAACUGUACCUGAAAUUGACAUAGGUGGGUAGGUAGAGAAUACCUAAGGGCACGAGACAACUCUCUCUAAGGAACUCGAAAAAAUAUCCUCGUAACUUCGAGAGAAGGGUGCCUCUUCACAAAGGGGGUCGUAGUGACUAAGCCCGAGCGAUUGUUUACCAAAAACACAGGUCUCAGCAAAGUUGUAAGACCUUGUAUAGGGGCUGACGCCUGCCUAGUGCCUGAAGGUCAAGGAAGUCGGUGACCUGAUGAUAGGGGAGCCAAAGACUAAAGCCCUGGUGAAUGGCGACUGUAACUAUAACGGUCCUAUGGUAGAGAAAUUCCUUGUCAAGUAAGUUUCAACCUGCACGAAAGGCACUAUCUCAAAGAGAGGCUUGGUGAAAUAGACAUAUCUGUGAAGAUGCGGACUACUUGCACCUAGACAAAAAGACCUUAUAAAGCUUCACUAUUCCCUAAGAUUGGCUUUGGGCUUUUCUUGCGCAGCUUAGGAGGAAGGCGAAGAAGACCUCCUUUCGAGGGGCCCGAGCCUUCAGUGACAUACCACACUCUAGAAGAGCUAGAAUUUUAACCUUAUGUCAAGACCUACGGGCCAAGGGACAGUUUAAGUAGACAGUUUCUAUAGGGUGUAGGCCUCCCAAAAGGUAAAGGAGGCGUGCAAAGGUUUCCUUAGACCAGACGGAGAUUGGCCCUCGAGUGCAAAGGCAGAAGAGAGCUUGAUUACAAGACCGACCUAUUGAACAAGGACAGAAAUUUACCUUAGUGAUCUGAUGGUAUCGAGUUGAAGGGCCGUCGCUCAAUGGAUAAAAAGUUACUCUAAGGAUAAUAGUCUGAUCUUCCCCAAGAGCUCACAUCGACGGGAAGGUUUGGCACCUCAAUGUUGGCUCUUCGCCACCUAGGGCUGUAGUAUGUUCCAAGGGUUGGGUUAUUCGCCCAUUAAAGCGGUACGUGAGUUGGGUUUAGAAUGUCAUGAGUGUUGAAAUUAGAGAUGAAUCAUGAUGAAAUUAGAGAUGAAUACUCAAAGGUAUUGAAGAAAAACUCUCUCAAAAAUAUAAAUUUCUUAGAAAUAUGUCCAACAAUAUAUACAUGUAGCAUUGAAUCAAAUAAGGAAAUAAUAUCUCUUAAUUAUAACCCCUAAAAAUCAGCUAUAAUCUCUAAAGAUACUAUUUAAUGCUAUUAAAGAUUCUCAACAUUCCCCC